UCCAGGGUGAAAGGAGACGCCGAAAACCAAUUCUGGUUAUCGAGCGGCGGCACCCUCGGGGAAGUCUAACAAAAACGUGAUAAAUAUAAUUAAAUCGAACAAAAUAUAUUACUUGAUAAAUAAAUAAAGAAACGCAAUCGAUGCGUCAAGGCGACCCGGUAAAAACCAAGCAAUCGCCGUUUAAAAAUAAGAAAAUCGACUCCAUGCACCACAGUCUAGGUAACCAUGGAAAUUAUUAAGUGAACCAAACAGACUUGCAGUGUGGUCAUGGCAGGUAAAUAGUUCGGCUACGGUAAAGUGCAACACAAGUCGAUUGUGUGCAUAUAAGUGUCCAGAUUGAAAUAAAACUGGAUGUUAAGAGUACACAAAUUGUAAAAGUAUAGAAUACCGUACCAAUCAAGUAUGCAAAUAACAAAAUAUUGACACUUUGAGGCAGAAACAAGCUAGUAGUGUAAAAGCUAAAAUGUUGACCUGGACUAACAAGUGUUUUGAUGCUGGAGUCAAAGAUUCACAUACGGGAAUUGUAUAGACAUGAGGAAAAUAUACAUCGAAAUAUUCAGCAGUAUUAAUACAACACAAUGAAGUGAUUUGGAUCGAGACAAAUGAUGAGCUGGCAAUGACGAAAAGAUUUGCUGGGACAACAUCAACUGGAUGUAGAGGCAGUGGAAAGUGUUCACCUCGGCUUGCAGUGAGAUUAGAUUCUUUGCACUGUCGAGCAGACAGGCAUCAUCGGCGAAGAGUUUGCUCAAGAAAUUUGAACAAUUUGAAAGAUCGUUUAUGAAGAUUAAAAAAUUCAAAGGUCCUAAUACGCUACCUUGUGGAAUUCCGUAAUGGAUGGGUAAUAACGAAGACCUGUGAGAAUCUAACUCCACAUAUUGAUAACGUCCGGACAGGUUCAAUAUGGUUUGAAGAAUCUCUGUAUGUGUCGUUGGCUCCAGGAAAAAGGUGUUUUGCAGCGGAACACCCAAAAAAUCGGUAGAAGGGUUAGAGCUACCAGGGAUGUUAUUCGCAAGUUUCUUUCCUACCGUU
Long non-coding RNA from Styela clava, 1029 nucleotides. RefSeq lists it as uncharacterized. Lineage: Eukaryota; Metazoa; Chordata; Ascidiacea; Stolidobranchia; Styelidae. The record is from RefSeq and is a predicted model, not a curated record.